This 466-nucleotide ribosomal RNA is filed under the name uncultured bacterium. RNAcentral describes it as "partial 16S ribosomal RNA". It matches the Rfam family "Bacterial small subunit ribosomal RNA", at positions 28 to 507 of the family's 1533-position model. The record is from RNAcentral.
GAUGAACGCUGGCGGCGUGCUUAACACAUGCAAGUCGAACGAUGAAGCCCAGCUUGCUGGGUGGAUUAGUGGCGAACGGGUGAGUAACACGUGAGUAACCUGCCCUUGACUCUGGGAUAAGCCUGGGAAACUGGGUCUAAUACUGGAUAUGACUUCUCAUCGCAUGGUGGGGGGUGGAAAGAUUUAUUGGUCUUGGAUGGACUCGCGGCCUAUCAGCUUGUUGGUGAGGUAAUGGCUCACCAAGGCGACGACGGGUAGCCGGACUGAGAGGGUGACCGGCCACACUGGGACUGAGACACGGCCCAGACUCCUACGGGAGGCAGCAGUGGGGAAUAUUGCACAAUGGGCGCAAGCCUGAUGCAGCGACGCCGCGUGAGGGAUGACGGCCUUCGGGUUGUAAACCUCUUUCAGUAGGGAAGAAGCGAGAGUGACGGUACCUGCAGAAGAAGCGCCGGCUAACUACGUG